AGUCUGUGAGCUGGGAGCCUGUUGGCAGGUCCCUCUUUUUAUUUUCGCUGAGAGCUUUCUUUUACUAAAUGCCACCAUCCUUACCUUUCAAGGUGUCUGCGUGCCUAAUUUUUCCUGGUUGUUAGACAAGAACCCGGAUUUUAGUUGAACUCUGGAGCAAAAAUCCUGCAUCAUUUGUAGGUCAACAACAAGAGGCCAGGACCUCCCAAGAAAAGCUUUACUAAUGUAAUAGCUUUGGCCAAGUCCACCCAAUAUAUUUUCCUCUCUGCAAAGAGAAACAAGCUAUUGUCUCAUCUUAGGUUUCAUCUUCUUCCAUGCCACUGUUAUUCAUGUUCAAAUCCUGGCUGUCCUUCAGGGUCCAAUUCAAAUGAUUAUCGCCAUUUUCUAUUAAUGUCAUUUCUUCCUAUUUUCUACCUUUUGUUAGCUAUGUUAAAGUGUUUCUUUACCAACAUCCCCCAUAUAUUGUGUAACACAGUGUCUAUGGCUUACUCAUUUUUGAAUCCUUAUCAUGACCUGACAUAAUGAAGAUUCUUAGUACAUAGUGAUACAUGUAAAUAUGAGUUAAUUAGUACAUGAUAGACUUGAUUUCCAGAAUGAUUUUGUAUAGUUGAAUUGUGUAGUAAGGGGACACAUGUGAAAUGAAGACUUUAGUCAGUAUCAAGAAGAUAUUUUGGGUGACUUCACAUAUCUGCCAAUGAUAAAUCUAGAAACAAUAGGUGCUUGGGUAGGUGAUUUCCUUUUGCCUUCUUUAUCAUUGUUUUCCCAGUAUUUCUUACAUUCAUCUAAUUUCAUUAGAUGCCCAUAUACUUUAUACUGGCUCUUCCUGUGAGGUUCGAACUGGUCCAGUCCAUUUGUUUUCAGAAUUGAUUCAUCUGGAGAGUCAUCUCCUAUCCUCCCAAACAAUGAUAUACCAGUCUGAGGACUGUGUAGAAGGGACUUCUCUUUCUACUCAGUAUGACCAAAAUAAUUCAAUUCUAGUUGUGGUGUGUGAUUUAUGAAUAUUUUGUCCUUUAGUUUGUGUGAGCCAAUUUUGUGCCAUAAGAAUUUUAGCCUCCUUUUCCACAAAAGAGUGAUUUAAUCAAACAAAAGUUGACAAUCAAUGUAGUACAUUUGUGUGACAGUGAUUAAACAUGGUGUUUUUCUCUUAGGUGUCUGAGUAGAUUUGGAAAUGCCCAUUCAGCCCUCAGAGCUCCUCUGCUUUAAGGGUGAUGGACUUCCUGUACCACUACGUAGUGCAUGAGUGCCAGCCACUGGUAUCUAGAACUGUGAUUAGUGAGGAAACACUAGGAGGAACAAACAACCCAACUCUUUUUAUCUAAUCUGUUGACUCCAAAGGGACCUUCUGCUUAUUCCAGUUAAAACUCAAGCUGCAAUUCAAAAUGAAAUCAGUAUCUUUUUUCUCUACUUUUCAGCAAAGCAAGAUGCUACCUUAUAAUUACCACGUAACAAUCAAUCGCAAACAUAGUGGCUUAAAGCAGCUCCUCUUUUAGCCUACAUAUCUGCAAACUGGCAGUCUGGACUGAGCUCAGCUGGAUGUUUUUUCUGAGCUGAUCAUGUAUGUAGGGUCUGCUGCUGGCUGGUUUAGACUGAUGGUGGAUGAGAAACCACAUGAAGAAGAGAGGCAUGAUGGUGGCAGAGUUCUGAAAGAGUCACACAGAAGGGCGUUGAGUUCGUGGCUUGAAAAUAGCAUCCUGUCACUUCUACCACAUUCUAUUUACCAGGCCAGCCCAGAUAAAGAUGUGAAGAAACAGACUCCAUCUCUUGAUGGGAGAAGUUGAAAAUCAAUGGAAAAUGGCAUGGAUAAGGAAAGGAGUGAUGAUUGUGGCCAUAUUUGUAAUGGCCAUAUUUGAUACCCUUUUCAGUUUUCCUAGCCACACUUCUCAUUGGCCAGGAAAAUUAAAUGCAUGUCAACACUGAAGAAAACAGAUCUUGGUUAAAAGCAAUGAUGUAGCUAAUAUCCCGUUCAGGUAAAAGAUUACUUAUAUAGUGUGAGACAGGCAUGAGGCAGAGAAGUGCUUACAGGUUGGUUUCUGCUUUGUUAGCAGAUUUACUUUUAGAUCAUAUACUACUUUGUUUUUACUGUUUUAUUGAGAAAAAAUAACAAAUAUUUCCAAAAUUUUGCAGCAUGCAACUCAGUGCUUCAGUUGGCAUUCAAUCAAAAUUUCCUUGAAAUAAAAAAAGACAAGAGAGAGACUUGGAAUUAUGACUCUUCUACUAGAUUAGCUCCUUCAUGUCAAAAUCUGUCAAGUUUAUGAUUUAUUCAGAUAGCACUUGUUUUUGGUGUAAUAACUAAACUGUUGCUUUAGAGUCUACUACAUUCUCCUCUAUUAUUUGGCAUUUUUCUCUUUAUUAUUUUGUUCAAGUAGGAUAUUGUGCUGAGUUGAACCAUGAAAUGAAUUGUAUUGAGCAACAUCAACAACAUAAAUAUUCUGGGGUGUCAUCUGCAUUUUCAUAUCUGGCUGCUCAAAUUCUUUUUACAGCUAUAGCUUUGAUAAUAAUGUAAUAGCAUAAUGUUUUUCAUUAGAUAUCAAAUCAUAGAAGACAACAAAGAUGUGUUAAGUUAGCAUAGUUUAAUAUAAGGAAACAACAGCAUCAGUAAAAGCAUUGAGCACUAAAUAUCUCUUCCAUUUCAGUUCUUUUACAGGAAGCUUUUGUUACGUGUUGUCAGCACAUUGCUGUGAUGCUCAAGUAUAGCUCUUUAAUGUGAAAACCUGGUAUUUGGGCAUGGCUUGAAGCAGCUCACACUGUCACCUGGGCUGGAGUGCAGUGGCGCAAUCUCGGCUCACUGCAACCUCUGCCUCCUGGGUUCAAGCAAUUCUCCUGCCUCAGCCUCCCAAGUAGCUGGGAUUACAGGCACCCGCCACUACACCCAGCUAAUUUGUUGUAUUUUUAGUAGAGAUGGGGUUUCACUAUGUUGGCCAGGCUGGUCUCAACUCCUGAUCUCAGGUGAUCCCCCCCACCUCAGCCUCCCAAAGUGCUAGGAUUACAGGUGUGAGCCACUGCGCCCAGCCCAAAAUAUCUUAAGUAGAUGGGGUUGUGCCAUAUUGGCCAGUCUGGUCUUGAACUCCUGACCUUGUGAUCCACCUGCCUCGGCCUCCCAAAGUGCUGGGAUUACAGGCAUGAGCCACUGUGCCUGGCCAUAUAAUUUUUAAAAGAAGAUUCAUUAAACAAAGGAUCCACAAUAUAAUAAAAAAUUCCAAACUAUCAAAAGCCAAAUGAUUAAUUCUUGACACUUAGGAAAUAAAUGGAUUGAUUAUUUUGUUCCGAAUUUCAGAACAACCAAUAAAAUAAGAGAAAUAAGAUACAGAAUUUGCAAAUCAUUAGAAAGAAGUAACAAAGUUAUAAACAGGGAAGUAUUUUUAAAUGACACUUGAAAACCCAAACAAAAGAAGACAUAACACACGAUGGCAGCAAAAAGUUUAAACAUAUUAUGAUUACAAUUAUGAUUAGAUAAGUUCCCCUGUCAAAGACAAAGAACAGUAAUUAGUUGUUUAUAAGAACUACACUUAAAUCAAAUGACACACAAAGGUAAAAAUUGAACAAGGCAAUGAGAAGCAAAACAAUACCCAGAAAUAGAUUUCAGCAGAAGUGGGAGUCAUUCUUUCCAGUAUAGGUUUGAAUUCACAAUACCUGCAGGGCCUAAAAAAGCUCAAAUUAAAAUUUAAUGUAAAGUGGUCUCCAAUUAGUAGUUUCCCAAGAUGCCUUGCAGAAGAGGCAAUACAAAUUCAUUCUUUUUUUCUUUUCGCCACAAGGUGGGUGUCAUUGUGACUGGCUGCUACCUCCCCAUGAGUCUUCUAAAAUAAAACCUGCAAAUUCACAUCUUCCCCAUGCUUCCAGAGAAUGCAUAUUCUUCCUUUGAAAAAAGAAAACCAGCACUGUUCAUAAUAGCCAAGAUUUGGAAGCCACCUAAGUGUCCAUCAACAGAUGAAUGGAGAAACUGUGGUACAUAUACACAACGGAGUGCUAUUCAGCCAUAAAAAAGAAUGAUACUCUGUCAUCUGCAACAACAUGAAUGGAACUGGAGAUCAUUAUGUUGUUAAAUAAGCCAGACACAGAAAGACAAACAUCACAUAUUUUCACUUAUUUUGGGGAUAUAAAAGUCAAAACAAACUCAUGGAGAUAGAGAACAGAUAGACGGUUACCAGAGGCUAGGAGGAGGAGUGGUGGGGGGCAGUUAGUGAUGGUUAAUUGGUACAAAAAAAUGGUUAGAAAUAAUAAAUAAGACCUAGUAUUAGAUAGGACAACAGGAGGACUAUAGUCAAAAAUAAUUUAUUUGUACAUUUCAAAGUAACUAAAAGAGUGUAAUUGUAUUAUUUGUAGCACAUAGGAUAAAUGCUUGAGGUGACGGAUACCCCAUUUACCCUGAUGUGAUUAUUACACAUCGUAUGCCUGUACCAAAAGAUCUCAUGUACCUCAUAAAUACAUACACCUACUAUAUACCCACACAAAUUAAAAAUUAAAAAAAUUUAAAGAAAUUACAGUUUGUUGGUUUUGAAUAUUUGACCAAAUUUUUUACUAAGCACAGAUAGAUUGAAUAUAAUUUUAUUGUCCUUUUGACAUUAUGAUAAUGAAGGUAUCUACACAGAAGUCUGAGAUGAGAAAAAAAUGAUAUAAUAUCCACCUACUACAUAGUGGGUAGUUUAUAUACUAAAGUUAUUGUUAUGAGAAAGAAUGGCUUAGGAAUAUUAUUUAAAAUUAAUUAAGGGGUGUUAAAAAUAAAAUACCAAGUGUAAAAAUGACAAAGGCAAGAAGAAACAGUAUAUAAUGUGAGUAAAUCUUAAUCUUUCCAAGAGAGGAGACAGUACAUAAUGUCUAAAAUUGUUAAACCAUGAAAUAGAAAUAUAGUUAUUUUAUUCAUAAUUAAGGAGAUAACUACUAUAGCACGAAAUCGUGCCAAAAAUGGUUGCCUCUGGGAAAUGUGAUUAUAGAUAUUAUAAUAUUUUGGACUGUAAAAAUCUGCUUUUAAGACUGAGGAAAUACAAAUAGGACAAUAUUUAUUUGAAAUUUGUAUCCUCAGGGAGUGUAAAGAAAUUAAUGUAUCCACAAAAUAAUAAUAGCUGCUAUUUGAAAACAUAGUUUUCUUGAAAGUUAAAAUAGUAAUAGUCUUCUAAAAAUUUUGUUAGUUUUGGUUUUCUCUUUAAUCUGAGUUAUGUAGAAAAGUGCUUAUUUCAAAUUAGGUAGGCUUGUUUUAUUCCUUUUUCUGUCUUUUUUCUAUCAACUAGUGUUUUAUUGUGUUCAGAAAAUGCCAUGCAUUAAAAGACUACUUUUGAGAAUUUCUAGAGAUUUUCUUUGUUACUAAAGAGAUUUUUGUAAUUGUUACAUGGGAUUUUAAAAAGAAUGUAAAUUAUCCUUUUUGUCAAGUAUAAUGAUUUCUGAAACCUAGCUGUGUCAGAAUACUGUAUAAUACUGUAAUAGUAUGUUGUUUUUGGCUAUGUGUACUUAUUUCUUAGAGUGGUAUGUUAAAGCCUCGACCUUGUGACUUUGUUUAUUUCUCUCUCUACAUCUAAACAUUUCCAAGACAUGUUAUUUGCAAUACCAAGACCAUAACUAUUAUGUAUUUAAUCAAAAUAAAAUAUUUCGGCUCUCUAUAAUUCACCUUGAACUUUAUUUUGUUAAAUAUAAAUGUUGUUGAUUAUACAACAUUUCAUUAUCAAUCCCUAGACACAUUUCUAAUCCACUAUAAUUGUUUUAAAAUAAAAGGAGAAGGGAAGGUUGUA
This 5717-nucleotide long non-coding RNA is filed under the name Homo sapiens (human). RNAcentral's name for it is "non-protein coding lnc-MMRN1-12:23". Lineage: Eukaryota; Metazoa; Chordata; Mammalia; Primates; Hominidae. The record is from RNAcentral.